This is an RNA transcript of Eutrema salsugineum, 3306 nucleotides long. It is a transcript of the gene named golgin candidate 5, with no coding region annotated. Lineage: Eukaryota; Viridiplantae; Streptophyta; Magnoliopsida; Brassicales; Brassicaceae. The transcript has 21 exons. The record is from RefSeq and is a predicted model, not a curated record.
GGAACGACGCCGUUUAUGCCGCCGGUGGCAGAGAAAAAACACAAAGAAACGAAACCAAAAAGAAAAGAGAAAAAAAGGGGGUGGAAUUUGGAUCUAAAAACACGUUGGGUCGGUCUCCUCUGCAAUUCGAUCACGACGCAUCUCCUUGCCGGUCGGAGAUGGAUCUGGUCCGGUGAAUUUUGAGAUUUAAGUUUCAGAUUUCUGGUGGAGAUGGCUUGGUUCAGUGGAAAAGUUUCUCUGGGAGGAUUCCCAGAUCUCACUGGGGCAGUAAAUAAAUUCCAGGAGAGCGUUAAGAACAUCGAAAAGAAUUUCGACAACGCCCUUGGCUUUGACGAGAAGUCGGAAUCUGGCGGUGAAGCUUCAAGUACGUGGCCACCUGCAGUUGAUACCAAAAGUCUCUUUGAUCCCGUAAUGUCCUUCAUGGGUAACACCUCUGAUGAGAAGCUGGAUAAAUUGGAAGAUUCUGUGAGUACAGUAAAUCCAUCUCAGAUCGAAGAAAAAGAACAGGAAGGAUCUGGUAAGCUAGCCACUGAGCAGGCAGUAUCCGUCGAAGCAAAGAAAGAAUCAGAUGUGCAAAGACAAGCUGAUCAAGCUGAAUUUCCUGAGGUAACAGAGACUCUCGUUUUAGAUCUCAAAGAUAAUGAACCUGAAUCGCAGAUUGUUCUCGAAGAGUCUUCUGAAUACUCUCUUCAGCGUCCUGAAUCGUCUGGUUACACGACUAGUCUUGAACCUAAUGACAAGCCGGAAAUGACAGCUUCCCAAGAGUCACCGCCAGAGCGGCCCAAGUCGGAAGAAUCUAGAUCAGAGGCAGAGGAGCCAAAGCCAGAGGAUUCUGGAACCAAAGAAGUUUUUGUAGCAAACAAUGACGUAGUUUACUCCCCUGUGUUUGAAGGACCGCAUAAGAUUGCUGAUACGGAUGAGACAAUAAAUGAACAGAAAUGGCAGCGUGAAAAUCUGGAAGAGACAACCUCGUCUAUAAAUGUUGAAGGUUCAACCGAUAUAAACAAGCUUAACAGGAUAGAGUCCCCUGAUACUCAACCCACUUUAGCUACUGAGUCAGACGUUCCUGCUUACGAGUCUUCUGUGCCAAAGAGAUCUUCUUCAGAUGAAAUUUCCGAGAGCAUUGUAGAUUUGGUUUCUCGUGAACUAAAUUCACGGAUUGAUGCUAAUGAAUUGAACGAGGGCCAGCGUUUGAGCUCUGCAACAAAUGCUUCCAACUCAGCUGAUGUUGUUCUGGAAUUAGAGAAGACCAAAAAGGAAAUGAAAAUGUUAGAAAAUGCCCUACAAGGUGCUGCAAGGCAAGCUCAGGCAAAGGCUGAUGAGAUUGCGAAGUUGAUGCAUGAAAACGAGCAGCUAAAAUCUGUCACUGAGGAUUUGAAGAGGAAAUCUAAUGAAGCUGAAGUUGAGUCUUUGCGAGAAGAAUACCAUCAGAGAGUUGCUACUCUUGAGAGGAAGGUUUAUGCUCUCACCAAAGAGAGGGAUACACUUAGAAGAGAACAGAACAAGAAAAGUGAUGCUGCGGCCCUUUUGAAGGAGAAAGAUGAAAUAAUAAAUCAAGUUAUGGCUGAGGGCGAAGAGCUUUCAAAGAAACAAGCUGCUCAAGAGGCUCAGAUCAGGAAGUUGAGGGCUCAGAUUAGAGAGGUAGAAGAAGACAAGAAAGGACUGAUCACAAAGCUUCAGUCUGAAGAAAAUAAGGUAGAAAGUAUUAAAAGAGACAAGACAGCUACAGAGAAGCUACUGCAAGAGACCGUAGAAAAACAUCAAGCCGAACUUACUUCUCAGAAAGAGUAUUACUCGAAUGCAUUAGCUGCAGCAAAGGAAGCUCAAGCAUUAGCUGAGGAGCGUACCAACAAUGAAGCGAGAACAGAGUUAGAGAAUCGUCUAAAGGAGGCCGGAGAGCGGGAAUCUAUGCUAGUACAGGCACUGGAAGAAUUGAGGCAAACCUUAAGCAAAAAGGAGCAACAGGCAGUGUAUAGGGAAGACAUGUUCCGUGGAGAAAUUGAAGACCUUCAAAGACGUUACCAGGCUAGUGAGCGAAGGUGUGAGGAAUUAAUCACUCAGGUUCCUGACUCUACAAGGCCUCUCCUAAGACAGAUUGAGGCUAUGCAGGAAAAUACAGCCAGAAGAGCAGAAGCUUGGGCUGCUGUAGAGAGAACUCUAAAUGCCCGACUGCAGGAAGCAGAAACUAAAGCUGCCACAGCUGAAGAACGAGAGCGCUCUGUGAAUGAACGCCUCUCUCAAACCUUAUCAAGGAUCAAUGUUCUAGAGGCCCAGCUUUCAUGUCUUAGAGCAGAACAGGGCCAGUUAAGCAAGUCGCUCGAGAAGGAGAGGCAGAGAGCGGCAGAGAAUAGACAGGAAUAUCUGGCAGCUAAGGAGGAAGCAGAUACCCUUGAAGGUCGAGCAAAUCAACUUGAAGUGGAAAUAAGGGAAUUGCGGAGAAAACAUAAGCAAGAGUUGCAAGAAGUGCUACUCCACAACGAACUUAUUCAAAAGGACCUAGAAAGGGAGAAGGCUUCCCGUUUGGAUCUUGAAAGAACAGCCCAUAUCAAUUCCUCGGCGCCCUCUGAACAGCUUCCCAUAGCAAGGCAGAAUUCUGCCUUUGAGAAUGGAGGCUUGCCAAGAAAGCUCUCAAGCGCAAGCAGCCUUGGCAGCAUGGAGGAGAGCUAUUUUCUGCAAGCUUCACUUGAUUCUUCAGAUAAAUUUUCUGAGAAGAGAAGCAUGCCUGAGGCAACUAUGAGUCCAUACUACAUGAAGAGCAUCACACCGAGUGCUUAUGAAGCUACACUUCGCCAGAAAGAGGGUGAACUCGCUUCAUACAUGUCCCGCUUGGCAUCAAUGGAGUCUAUCCGAGAUUCCCUGGCUGAAGAGCUAGUCAAGAUGACAGCAGAGUGUGAGAAAUUAAGGGGGGAAGCGGAUAGGGUGCCGGGCAUGAAGGCUGAGCUGGAAGCAUUGAGGCAAAGGCAUGCGGCUGCGCUGGAACUGAUGGGUGAACGGGAUGAGGAGUUGGAGGAACUUCGAGCGGAUAUAGUGGACUUGAAGGAAAUGUACAGGGAGCAAGUGAACAUGCUGGUGAACAAGAUCCAAUGAGAAAUCAAGUAAUGAAGAUGCUGGUGAACAAAGUGUUGACAGGCUCACGCUCAUGAGAGGCUUUAAAACAAAGUUUUGCUGCUCGAAAGAAGAUUUGCCUUAUAGUUUACCGUAAUUAUUUGGAGCGAGAAUAAUUAAGAGUACCCCUGUGUGACUGUCUCGUAUUGUCUCUGUAUAUGAUGAUGAUGAUGAUGAUGAUAAACAUGUCUUCUUGUCUCU